RNAcentral lists this ribosomal RNA (253 nucleotides) under uncultured bacterium. RNAcentral describes it as "partial 16S ribosomal RNA". It matches the Rfam family "Bacterial small subunit ribosomal RNA", at positions 524 to 776 of the family's 1533-position model. The record is from RNAcentral.
UACGAAGGGUGCAAGCGUUACUCGGAAUUACUGGGCGUAAAGCGUGCGCAGGCGGUUCGUUAAGUCUGCUGUGAAAGCCCUGGGCUCAACCUGGGAAUGGCAGUGGAUACUGGCGAGCUAGAGUACGGUAGAGGAAGGUGGAAUUCCCGGUGUAGCGGUGAAAUGCGUAGAGAUCGGGAGGAACACCAGUGGCGAAGGCGACCUUCUGGACCAGUACUGACGCUCAUGCACGAAAGCGUGGGGAGCAAACAGG